GACGAACGCUGGCGGCGUGCCUAACACAUGCAAGUUGAGCGACGAACCAGGGCUUGCCCUGGGGCAAAGCAGCGAACGGGUGAGUAACACGUGGGUAACCUACCCCGAUAACCGGGACAACCCGAGGAAACUCGGGCUAAUACCGGAUGUGCUCACUGGACUUCGGUUCAGUGCGUAAAGGAAGCUUCGGCCUCCGUAUCGGGAGGGGCCCGCGGCCCAUUAGUUUGUUGGUGAGGUAACGGCUCACCAAGACCGCGAUGGGUAGCUGGUCUGAGAGGACGAUCAGCCACACUGGGACUGAGACACGGCCCAGACUCCUACGGGAGGCAGCAGUGGGGAAUCUUGCGCAAUGCGCGAAAGCGUGACGCAGCAACGCCGCGUGGGGGAAGAAGGCCUUCGGGUUGUAAACCCCUUUCAGGAGGGACGAAGGUUCGGCGGUGAAUAGCCGUCCGGACUGACGGUACCUCCACAAGAAGCCGCGGCUAACUACGUG
This 493-nucleotide ribosomal RNA is filed under the name uncultured bacterium. Its description in RNAcentral is "partial 16S ribosomal RNA". It matches the Rfam family "Bacterial small subunit ribosomal RNA", at positions 28 to 507 of the family's 1533-position model. The record is from RNAcentral.